AUGCUGGCAGAAGGCCUCUAAUCCGCCCGUCUUGUAACACGGACCAAGGAGUCUAACAUGUAUGCGAGUUGGUGGGUGGAAAACCCAUGAGCGCAAGUAACCUGACUGGUGGGAAGGCUCUGCCUGCACCAUCGACCGACCAUGA
This 145-nucleotide ribosomal RNA is filed under the name Goniomonas pacifica. RNAcentral describes it as "partial Eukaryotic large subunit ribosomal RNA". It matches the Rfam family "Eukaryotic large subunit ribosomal RNA", at positions 623 to 774 of the family's 3401-position model. Lineage: Eukaryota; Cryptophyceae; Goniomonadida; Goniomonadaceae. The record is from RNAcentral.